This 2142-nucleotide long non-coding RNA is filed under the name Olea europaea subsp. europaea. The record is from RNAcentral. Lineage: Eukaryota; Viridiplantae; Streptophyta; Magnoliopsida; Lamiales; Oleaceae.
CGAAACCUCUUGAGACAAAGUCCCAAAAAGGGGUGUUCUUUUAUUGGCGAUGAACUUUACAAUUGGAAACGAAAAACAACGUGCCUCCAAGGGACGCAAGCACACGAGUUACAGAAAGGAAAGUAUUUAAGUCUAAAAGCUAAAGAAAUGAAAAUUACAUAUUCUCUUGUUCGAGAGUUUUGGAUUCGGUCCUUUGCUUCUACGCCUUUUCUCCCUUUUAUACCUCAUAGACGAUCUCUUUGUGAUUAACUACUCUGAAAACUGCUUGAUCGUCCUAUAACUACCCACUUUCUUUGUAGUGGCCANAAUGAAAUGCGAGAAAAUCUAAAGCUGGAACUCAGUAAUUAUAAAGGUAAUAUUUCUAUUGCUUGUGAUUUAUUCACCGGAAGUAACUAUAAAUGUUACAUUUGCGUUACUGCUCAUUACAUUGAUUCCAAUUGGACUAUGCAAAAAAGAAUUAUCGCGGUUAGGAUGUUAAAAAAUCCGCGUAAAACUGACCAUAUUUUUAAAUAUUUGAUGGAGAUUUUUAAUGAAUUUGGAGUGUUAAAUAAAAUAUUUUCACUUGCUUUUGAUAAUGUAUCUGGGUACGAUGAUGUGAUUGAGAUGCUUAUUACAUCGUUAGAGCCUCCAUUCGAUGCUAAAUUAUUUCACGUGAGUCAUUUUUUUAAUAUUAUAAGUUCAAUUGCUCGAGAUGGACUUGCACUAGUUGAAACACAUGUACGUAAUAUUAGAAUGGCUCUUAAGUUUAUAUCGUCUUCUCAAUCACGCCAAAAAGAAUUUGGUGAAAUAUGUGAAUCUUUUAAUUUGAAAAAUAGAAGAUUUGUUGAUGAUGAUAUGAAUCCUAGAUGGAAUUCCACAUAUCUUAUGUUACAAUCUUGUAAAGAUUAUCGUGAUGCCAUCACAGCUUUUUAUCAUAAAAAACAGAGUCAAUAUUUUCUAAGUGAUGACGACUGGAAUAUUGCUUUUACUUUUAUGAAAUUUAUGCUUUGUUUUCAUGUUACUAUUAAAUAUUCAUCCCCUCAUAGUAUUAUUCUUCAUUUCUAUAACAUAUCAAAAUCAUUCUCUGAAUAUAGAAAUAAUGAAAGUAUUGCCCAUAUUUGUGAUACAAUGGAAAAGAAAUUCUUAAAAUAUUGGGAAGAUAUACCUAUAUUAUUUGCAUUGUCUAUCGUGAUGGAUCCUCGUAUUAAAUUAUCAGCUCUAGAAUAUUAUCUUAAUCAAAUUUCAAAAAAUUUAAAUACCGAGUCAAAAAUAAAGAUUGAUGAUGUAAGUAGCCUUUCGCAUGAAAUGUAUAGUAAUUAUGCUACUAAAUAUAAAAAUAUGAAUCAUCGUGACUUUACUUAUGAAGGUGAAGAUAAAUUUAUGUUGUUGCUUAAGGAAAUUCAUAGUUUAAGAUCUAAUUCUUCGACCAACGAAUUAUCUACUUAUCUUGAAACUAAUAUUGCUCAUGAAGACUUGAAUUUAGGUGUUCUAAACUGGUGGAAAUUGCAUGAAUGGAAAUACCCAAUACUUUCCAUUAUGGCACGUGAUCUAUUAACACUCCCAGUGUCAACGCAAGCAUCAGAGUCUGAUUUGCGUGCACGGAACAAAAUACUCGAAGAUCGAAGGAAUUUACUAACAGCAGAAAUGUUUGAAUGUAUGGUGUGUUUGAAGGACUGGCAAAAUAUGGAACUUGAUGCUAUUACAUACAACAACGAGUAUUUUGAAAUAGAAGACGAUGAUUAAUAUGUCGAUUCCGUUACCGUUACAUGUCAAGUUGAAACAUCAUUAGUAUUAAUGUACAAUUGUAGCUUUAUGUGAAAUGAAGAUGGGAGGAUCAAAUUUUGGGCAUUGAAUUUCCAAAUUUAUUUACUUACUAGCAAUAAUGGAAAUUUUUACAGCAGCAGUGAUCAUUCGGCAGAAGAUGGGGAAUGAGUAGAGUAGUUAGCAUUAUUAUGAAUGUGAUUAGACCAUUAUUAUUGUUUCGCGCGGGUUAACUCGCUAACAAUUAAAGGGGAUCAGACGAUUGUGUAAGGGACGAAACCUCUUGAGACAAAAUCCCAAAAAGGGGUGUUCUUUUAUUGGCGAUAAACUUUACAAUUGGAAACGAAAAACAACGUGCCUCCAAGGGGCGCAAGCACACGAGUUACAGAAAGGAAAGUAUUU